AGCGAACGCUGGCGGCAGGCCUAACACAUGCAAGUCGAACGAACUCUUCGGAGUUAGUGGCGGACGGGUGAGUACCACGUGGGAACGUGCCUUUUGGUUCGGUAUCACUCAGGGCAACUUGUGCUAAUACCGCAUGUGCCCUUCGGGGGUAAGAUUUCUCGCCAUUAGAGCGGGCCGCGUCGGUUUUGCUAGUUGGUGUGGUAACGGCUCACAAAGGCGACGUGCAGUAGCUGGUCUGUGCGGAUGACCAGCCCGACUGGGACAGGGACAGGGCCCACACGCGAACGGGAGGCAGCAGUGGGGAAUCUUGCGCAAUGGGCGAAAGCCUGACGCAGCCAUGCCGCGUGAAUGGUGAAGGUCUUAGGAUUGUAAAAUUCUUUCACCGGGGACGAUAAUGACGGUACCCGGAGAAGAAGCCCCGGCUAACUUCGUG
This 433-nucleotide ribosomal RNA is filed under the name uncultured bacterium. RNAcentral describes it as "partial 16S ribosomal RNA". It matches the Rfam family "Bacterial small subunit ribosomal RNA", at positions 29 to 507 of the family's 1533-position model. The record is from RNAcentral.